Molecule: ribosomal RNA, 375 nt
Filed under: uncultured organism
Description: partial 16S ribosomal RNA
Rfam family: Bacterial small subunit ribosomal RNA
Source: RNAcentral
GUAGGGGCCAAGCGUUAUCCGGAUUUAUUGGGCGUAAAGAGCUCGUAGGCGGCUUGGCAAGUCGGUCGUGAAAGUCCGAGGCUCAACCUCGGAAUGCCGGUCGAAACUGCCAUGGCUAGGGCUCGGUAGAGGAGAGUGGAAUUCUCGGUGUAGCGGUGAAAUGCGCAGAUAUCGAGAGGAACACCAGUAGCGAAGGCGGCUCUCUGGGCCGAUACCGACGCUGAGGGGCGAAAGCGUGGGGAGCAAACAGGGAUUAGAUACCCUGGUAGUCCACGCCGUAAACGGUGAUCACUAGGUGUGGCGGACUCAUUGACGUCUGCUGUGCCGGCGCUAACGCAUUAAGUGAUCCCGCCUGGGAGUACGGCCGCAAGGCUA